RNAcentral lists this ribosomal RNA (301 nucleotides) under uncultured bacterium. RNAcentral describes it as "partial 16S ribosomal RNA". It matches the Rfam family "Bacterial small subunit ribosomal RNA", at positions 509 to 809 of the family's 1533-position model. The record is from RNAcentral.
CAGUAGCCACGGUAAUACGUAGGUGGCAAGCGUUGUCCGGAAUUAUUGGGCGUAAAGCGCGCGCAGGUGGUUUAAUAAGUCUGAUGUGAAAGCCCACGGCUCAACCGUGGAGGGUCAUUGGAAACUGUUAAACUUGAGUGCAGGAGAGAAAAGUGGAAUCCCUAGUGUAGCGGUGAAAUGCGUAGAGAUUAGGAGGAACACCAGUGGCGAAGGCGACUCUCUGGUCUGUAACUGACGCUGAGGAGCGAAAGCGUGGGGAGCGAACAGGAUUAGAUACCCGUGUAGUCCCUGUCUCUUAUAA